This 177-nucleotide ribosomal RNA is filed under the name Clostridium perfringens. RNAcentral's name for it is "partial 23S ribosomal RNA". It matches the Rfam family "Bacterial large subunit ribosomal RNA", at positions 1 to 175 of the family's 2925-position model. Lineage: Bacteria; Bacillati; Bacillota; Clostridia; Eubacteriales; Clostridiaceae. The record is from RNAcentral.
UAUAGGUCAAGCUACAAAGGGCGCAUGGUGAAUGCCUUGGCAUCAGGAGCCGAUGAAGGACGUGAUAAGCUGCGAUAAGCUUCGGGUAGGCGCACAUAGCCUGAGAUCCGAAGAUCUCCGAAUGAGGAAACUCACAUGGGAAACCCCAUGUAUCAUUAAGUGAAUACAUAGCUUAAU